Molecule: ribosomal RNA, 1536 nt
Filed under: Planctomycetota bacterium
Lineage: Bacteria; Pseudomonadati; Planctomycetota
Description: bacterial SSU rRNA
Rfam family: Bacterial small subunit ribosomal RNA
Source: RNAcentral
CAAUUGAAGGGUUUGAUCCUGGCUCAGAACGAACGCUGGCGGCGUGGUUGAUACAUGCAAGUCGAACGGGAAAGGGGGCUUCGGUCCCCCGGUACAGUGGCGGACGGGUGAGUAACACGUGAGCAAUCUGCCCUCAAGAUGGGGAUAGCUAUCCGAAAGGAUAGAUAAUACCAAAUAAGACCACGGGUUCGCAUGAACCUGUGGUAAAAAGGUGCGCAAGUGCCGCUUGAGGAUGAGCUCGCGUCCUAUUAGUUAGUUGGCGGGGUAACGGCCCACCAAGACGAUGAUGGGUAGCCGGACUAAGAGGUUGAACGGCCACAUUGGAACUGAGACACGGUCCAGACUCCUACGGGAGGCAGCAGUGCUGAAUCAUUCGCAAUGCGCGAAAGCGUGACGGUGCGACGCCGCGUGCAGGAAGAAGGCCUUCGGGUCGUAAACUGCUGUCAGGGAUUAGGAAAAAAUUGGUGUAGAGCCAAUCUCGACCAAUCCCAAAGGAAGCACAGGCUAAUCUCGUGCCAGCAGCCGCGGUAAUACGAGGUGUGCGAGCGUUGUUCGGAAUUACUGGGCAUAAAGGGUUCGUAGGUGGCUCCAUAAGUUGGGAGUGAAAUCCCUCGGCUUAACCGGGGAAUUGCUUUCAAUACUGUGGGGAUUGAGUGCUAAAGGGGUAACUGGAAUCCCAGGUGUAGCGGUGGAAUGCGUAGAUAUCUGGGAGAACGCCAAAAGCGAAGGCAGGUUACUGGGUAGCAACUGACACUGAGGAACGAAAGUUAGGGGAGCAAACAGGAUUAGAUACCCUGGUAGUCCUAACUGUAAACGAUGGGCACUGCGCAAUGGAGGAGUCGAUCUUUCGUUGCGGUAGCAAAUGCGUCAAGUGCCCCGCCUGGGGAGUAUGGUCGCAAGGCUAAAACUCAAAGGAAUUGACGGGGGCUCACACAAGCGGUGGAGCAUGUUGUUUAAUUCGAAGCAACGCGAAGAACCUUACCUGGGUUUGAAAUGCAGGGAUUAUCUCUAUGAAAGUAGAGUGAUUGCCGCAAGGUGUAACCUGCACAGGUGCUGCAUGGCUGUCGUCAGCUCGUGCCGUGAGGCGUCGGGUUAAGUCCCUUAACGAGCGAAACCCCUGUCGUAUGUUGCCAGCGAGUAAUGUCGGGCACUCUUACGAGACUGCCGGUGUCAAACCGGAGGAAGGCGGGGACGACGUCAAGUCAUCAUGGUCCUUACAUCCAGGGCUACAAACGUGCUACAAUGGCGGAUACAGAGAGACGCAAGACCGUGAGGUGGAGCAAAUCUUCAAAACCCGCCCCAGUUCGGAUUGGAGGCUGCAAUUCGCCUCCAUGAAGUUGGAAUCGCUAGUAAUCGCGGAUCAGCUACGCCGCGGUGAAUACGUUCCUGAGCCUUGUACACACCGCCCGUCAAGCCACCCAAGCUGAAAGCGCCCGAAGCCCGGCAAUAAUAGUCCGGUCGAAGGCGAGUUUGGUGAGGGGGACUAAGUCGUAACAAGGUAGCCGUAGGAGAACCUGCGGCUGGAUCACCUCCUUU